This is a non-coding RNA of Anopheles melas, 137 nucleotides long. The record is from Rfam. NCBI's taxonomy places the organism in Eukaryota, Metazoa, Arthropoda, Insecta, Diptera, Culicidae.
AGCUUGGCGCAGUGACAGUAUCGUAACUAAUUAAUAUCGGUUUCAUCCGAGGUGUGAUUAUUGCUUGUUGAAAACUAAAACCAAUACCUCGCCUGAAGGACUCGCCUGUCUGGAUUAUUAUGAAAGGAAUGUAUUCC